GAUGAACGCUGGCGGCGUGCCUAAUACAUGCAAGUCGAGCGAACAGACGAGGAGCUUGCUCCUCUGACGUUAGCGGCGGACGGGUGAGUAACACGUGGUUAACCUAUCUAUAAGACUGGGAUAACUUCGGGAAACCGGAGCUAAUACCGGAUAAUAUAUUGAACCGCAUGGUUCAAUAGUGAAAGACGGUUUUGCUGUCACUUAUAGAUGGAUCCGCGCCGCAUUAGCUAGUUGGUAAGGUAACGGCUUACCAAGGCAACGAUGCGUAGCCGACCUGAGAGGGUGAUCGGCCACACUGGAACUGAGACACGGUCCAGACUCCUACGGGAGGCAGCAGUAGGGAAUCUUCCGCAAUGGGCGAAAGCCUGACGGAGCAACGCCGCGUGAGUGAUGAAGGUCUUCGGAUCGUAAAACUCUGUUAUUAGGGAAGAACAAAUGUGUAAGUAACUAUGCACGUCUUGACGGUACCUAAUCAGAAAGCCACGGCUAACUACGUG
This 497-nucleotide ribosomal RNA is filed under the name uncultured bacterium. RNAcentral describes it as "partial 16S ribosomal RNA". It matches the Rfam family "Bacterial small subunit ribosomal RNA", at positions 28 to 507 of the family's 1533-position model. The record is from RNAcentral.